This 112-nucleotide ribosomal RNA is filed under the name Jaculus jaculus (lesser Egyptian jerboa). The record is from RNAcentral. Lineage: Eukaryota; Metazoa; Chordata; Mammalia; Rodentia; Dipodidae.
CCUACCUACCAUCUUGAAUACGCCCAGUCUUGUCUGAUCUCAGAAGCUAAGCAGGGUUGGGCCUGGUUAAUAAUACUUGGAUGAGAUAAGAGGAAAGUGAGCUUUGGUGAGU